UCCUGCUCAAUGGUACGCUAAAUAGCCGCAGUACCCUGACUGUGCAAAGGUAGCAUAAUCAGUUGGCCUAUAAUUGAGGUCUGGAAUGAAUGGAUUAUUGGGUGUGUUCUGUCUUAAAAGGUUAAUAUAAUUUACUUAUUAAGUGUAAAUACUUAAAUUUUAAAUAAUAGACGAUAAGACCCUAGAAAUUUUUUAUAAUAAAAUUGUAUCUAUUACUAUUUUGCUGGGGCGGCAGGAUAACACAUAAACUUAUUUAAAGAAAUAUAACGUAAACCAAAUAAAUAUAAUUACUCUAGGGAUAACAGCAUAAUUAAUAAUAGUUUGUGACCUCGAUGUUGGACUAAGGUUUAUAUUGUUCAGAAGACAAAUAUAUUCGCUCUGUUCGAGCAAUAAUCCUU
Molecule: ribosomal RNA, 398 nt
Filed under: Oestophora barbella
Lineage: Eukaryota; Metazoa; Mollusca; Gastropoda; Stylommatophora; Trissexodontidae
Description: partial large subunit ribosomal RNA
Rfam family: Archaeal large subunit ribosomal RNA
Source: RNAcentral